Molecule: transfer RNA, 66 nt
Filed under: Corcyra cephalonica (rice moth)
Lineage: Eukaryota; Metazoa; Arthropoda; Insecta; Lepidoptera; Pyralidae
Description: tRNA-Trp
Source: RNAcentral
AAGGUUUUAGGUUAAAUAAACUAGUAAUCUUCAAAAUUAUCCAUAAAGAAAUUUCUUUAAGCCUUA